UACGGGGGGGGCUAGCGUUGUUCGGAAUUACUGGGCGUAAAGGGCGCGUAGGCGGCCUACUAAGUCGGACGUGAAAUCCCUCGGCUCAACCGGGGAACUGCCUUCGAUACUGCGGGUCUCGAGUCCGGGAGAGGUGAGUGGAAUUCCUAGUGUAGAGGUGAAAUUCGUAGAUAUUCGCAAGAACACCAGUGGCGAAGGCGGCUCACUGGCCCGGUACUGACGCUGAGGUGCGAAAGCGUGGGGAGCAAACAGG
Molecule: ribosomal RNA, 253 nt
Filed under: uncultured bacterium
Lineage: Bacteria
Description: partial 16S ribosomal RNA
Rfam family: Bacterial small subunit ribosomal RNA
Source: RNAcentral